UGGAAUUCCAAAAUGAGAGUAUUAUGAACCAAGGAUUAUGAUUAAUUCAGUUCUGUACACUUGAGGUCCAAA
RNAcentral lists this small nucleolar RNA (72 nucleotides) under Vicugna pacos (alpaca). RNAcentral describes it as "Small nucleolar RNA SNORD112 (ENSVPAG00000018111.1)". The record is from RNAcentral. Lineage: Eukaryota; Metazoa; Chordata; Mammalia; Artiodactyla; Camelidae.